GACGAACGCUGGCGGCGUGCUUAACACAUGCAACUCGAACGGAAAGGCCCUGCUUUUGUGGGGUGCUCGAGUGGCGAACGGGUGAGUAACACGUGAGUAACCUGCCCUUGACUUUGGGAUAACUUCAGGAAACUGGGGCUAAUACCGGAUAGGAGCUCCUGCUGCAUGGCGGGGGUUGGAAAGUUUCGGCGGUUGGGGAUGGACUCGCGGCUUAUCAGCUUGUUGGUGGGGUAGUGGCUUACCAAGGCUUUGACGGGUAGCCGGCCUGAGAGGGUGACCGGCCACAUUGGGACUGAGAUAGGGACCAGACUCCUACGGGAGGCAGCAGUGGGGAAUAUUGCACAAUGGGCGGAAGCCUGAUGCAGCAACGCCGCGUGCGGGAUGACGGCCUUCGGGUUGUAAACCGCUUUCGCCUGUGACGAAGCGUGAGUGACGGUAAUGGGUAAAGAAGCACCGGCUAACUACGUG
RNAcentral lists this ribosomal RNA (468 nucleotides) under uncultured bacterium. RNAcentral describes it as "partial 16S ribosomal RNA". It matches the Rfam family "Bacterial small subunit ribosomal RNA", at positions 28 to 507 of the family's 1533-position model. The record is from RNAcentral.